Molecule: RNA transcript, 2581 nt
Organism: Heterocephalus glaber (naked mole-rat)
Lineage: Eukaryota; Metazoa; Chordata; Mammalia; Rodentia; Bathyergidae
Gene: Pierce1
Gene name: piercer of microtubule wall 1
Source: RefSeq, a predicted model, not a curated record
UCCCUGGCGGUGUCCACGGCCAGCGUGGGAUCCUUGCUCGCCAGGCUGCGGCUGGCACUGCAGCCCCUCAGUUUCCUAUUCUGGACCCAGGGCCUUGGCUUGCAUUUGCCCGCGGUCGCUCCCUGCUGUCUUUUGGGACAAUCCUGCAGCCAGCCCAGGGUCCCCGCAAUGUGCUGAGGGCUCGGGUUCUUUCCGCAGGACAGUCCUCGUAGUAACUCCUCGUCGUCCGGACCUGCCCAACCCUCCUCAUUCAUUCGCCCCGAAGGUUCUAGGCCUUCCAGGGGAGGGGCUUCGUCCCUUGGAGCUGUGCCUUUAAGAACUGGGCACCAACCCCCCUCAGUCACGUGACUGUCGCCUAGCACCGAGACGCCGCGCCACAGCCUUGGUGCGCAGAGCUGGUUUCCUGCAGCGGCCAAAUGUCAGAGGAAAACCCCCAGGAGUUCGCGGAGCCUGCGGCGGCCAAGGCCGAGGCCCCCCCGGAGAAGACAAGCGACUACUACCGCGUGAGCGAGCACCUGCCCGUCCGGUUCAACAACCCAGGGUGGUUUCGAGGCUACAGAGUCAAGGAGGCCGCCUCAGUGUACAGGACCAGCAACCAGGUUUACGGGAGCAGAGCACCCAGCGUGCACGAGAUGCCGAAAGUAUUUUAUACAAAUUCAAGUAAGUUUUCCAGACAGCUCUCAGCUACUGGAAUGUUCCAGGAUAAUACGCUCAAUGUCUGCAUGGAGAACAGCCUGGUGACAGGGCCCGACAACUACAUCACCCCCUGUGACAGGCUCAACUUCCACCCCAGUUACAACGUCAGUAGACCAUCCAUCUGUGACUAAGGGGGAGCGAGAGCCCCUUCCCCGGAGUCCUCUCCUCCAGCUGCCACCCUGUGGCUUGAUGCUUUGCCCAGUUGUAAAGCUCCAGCACUCCCGAGCACCUGAAGCAAAGGUCAAGCAGCUAGCACUGUUCCAGAUACUCAAUCACUCUGGAGAUGGACUUCUGGCCCGUCGUCCCAACAGCACAAAAGGAAGAAUCAAAGCACCAGGACGUUUCCAUGCUGACGAGGCAGUGCCGGUUCCGAGCGCUGUACUCCACUUGAUUUAUCAGUAGACCCAAGCCCAGCACCCGAAGGUCGAAUCUCUGCCCCUGAGAAGCACUUAAGUGAACAAAUAUGCCACAACGAAGCUGUCACAAGUACAUCGAGACGGCUCAGGACAGAAAGGAACAGCAGGUCCUGCUCCGCACACCUCCAACCCAGCAGGUGCGCACUUGGACAGCAGGGGGUGUGGGUCCAUGUUUGGGCAGAGAAAUGAAUCCCCCGGGGUGCACAGGGCUAGAAAACCCACUCCCGUCUGAGACCACUGACCAAAUUCAGUUACAAAGUAGACAGCACCUCAGCUAAACUCCCAACAAGGAAUGCAACAAGGGUGAGUGACAAUCACAAAGUAGAGGUUGUGACCAUCAGUGGCCAGAAUGGAAGGCCAGGAAGUCAGAGACCUUAACACCAAAGACAAGGGCCAGCACUCCAACCUCUCCUGGGGGCUGCAAGGGCCCUUCUGGGCCUGCCCCAAGGAGGCAGCCACAGAAAGCCUGGCCCCCAGCUAGGCCGGGGUCCUGGGGAGGCUCGUCCUCAGUACUGGGCUUUCCGUCAGCAGUGGCCAAGUGGGGACCGAGCGCCCAGCAGCUGUGCUUACUCACUCAUGGGCACAAAAUGAGGACAGGACUGUUACGAUGCACGUGUGCUGUUACCUUUCAGAACCUCAACUGAAAAGACAAACGGGGGUCUCGGGGAGAGAGGUUUAUUGGGAUGCUGAAGUCAUCCAGUGACUGGAUGAGCCGGACACUGAAGACCAGCUCGGGCUGUGGGCCCAGCUACAGAGCGAGUGCCACUGGGAUCUCCGCCGAUUCCCACACGGUAGAGACACAGGCAGUGGGCUCACUGGCCAUUGUGCUUUCCAAGGUUGUGACUGCAGUUUUCAGGGGAAGGGCGCUGGCUGCAGGCCCUUGGGUGUCCUUCAGUGCCGUCUUAGGAGCUUCCCGAUGGGCACCUCGGGCAUCCACCUCCCUGCUUCUGGACAGGGCACCUGCCACCUUCCAGGGUAGGUUCCACGAGCAAUCUGCCCACAAGGACCAGGUUGUCUCUGGCCCUCGCGGUGACAUAACCACCAAAAGUUUGCUCAUCUAGAACUUGUAUGCCCAACACAGAAAACCGCAGUUACGAUAACGAACGACAGUAUUUUUCAAAAAAUAUUUUUACAGCACUUUAAAUAACUUACAAAAAGCCGCAAAAACCAUAUAUACUGGGACACAUCUGUUAAAUAAAAACAUCCAUUUCAUGAUAGUGUACAUAUGUAUAGGGCUAUCUAUAUAUAAAGGACUCCAGUUUUCCCUCCGUGACUUCGAAUAGCACACACGCACGCAUGCACGCACACUGCUGCCCCAAUGUGACUGGAACCAGGACACCCAUCACAACGUGAGGCCUCUGCCCUUCACCACGGAGGUGCCACCGCCGUCCUCCACAGAAGUAUCACUGCCCAAGGCCUCCUGGUCCUCGUUGUCCCUGUCGAUGACCCUGCGUUGAUACCUCAGGUCC